UCCCCAAUGGCUCAGCAGGUAAAGAAUCUGCUUGCAAUGCAGGAGACCCAGGUUCGAUCCCUGGGUUGGGAA
This 72-nucleotide transfer RNA is filed under the name Capra hircus (goat). It matches the Rfam family "tRNA". Rfam says of the family: Transfer RNA (tRNA) molecules are approximately 80 nucleotides in length. Their secondary structure includes four short double-helical elements and three loops (D, anti-codon, and T loops). The record is from Rfam by way of RNAcentral. Lineage: Eukaryota; Metazoa; Chordata; Mammalia; Artiodactyla; Bovidae. RNAcentral also lists the same sequence under 1 other name.